Molecule: long non-coding RNA, 4467 nt
Filed under: Sus scrofa (pig)
Lineage: Eukaryota; Metazoa; Chordata; Mammalia; Artiodactyla; Suidae
Description: lncRNA (ENSSSCG00000041471.1)
Source: RNAcentral
AUGUUUGCUCGGGAGCCGCAAGGACUUGACAACAGAUUUAGGGGAAAAGAAUCUUUGGCGGAGAGCACAGGUACCCAGGCGCAAGGACAGCGUUUUAGGUUACUAUGAAUAAUGCUGCUGUGAGCAUUCUGUGCACAUUCACAAGAACGUCUGUGUGGGUGAGUGGUGUUCCUAGCCACUCUUUCCUGUCUUUCUUCCGCCUUCCCAUACACUCUGCCAGGCACAGUUCUGAUCUCCCAGGAUCUAUGUAACUCAGGACUGUGCCCAUCCCCAGACGGAGGAGGAAAAAUGACCUCGGUCAAGGUGAGUAGGGCCCGCCUUUCCCGAUUUUGAACUUCCAUCUCAUGGCUAAGAUUGUUGCAUGUUCUUCUUUGCGAGACUCAAGCAGAACAGGCAUGGGAGGGCCCAUCUGCUCCUGGUUCUUUUUUUGUCCCUUUUGAGUUUUCUUUGCAUUUGUUUUUAGUUUUUAUUUUAUUGUAGUGUUAUUUAUUUUAUGAAGUAGAAAAAUUACUAAAAAUGAACAGCUCUGCCACUUUACUACUUCUCUGCAGACAAAUUGUCUGUUUUCAUUUUCUCUUCUCUUUUCCUCACAUUCAUAACUUAUUCAUGGUAUCCAGCUAAUUUAAUUAAUUAAUUAUUCAUUUAUUUAUUUUGCUCUUUAGGGCUGCACCCACACCAUAUGGAAGUUCCCAGGCUAGGAGUCGAAUUGGAACUACAGCUGCUGACCCACAGCACGGCCACAGCAACACAGGAUCCAAGCUGUGUCUGCGACCUGCACCACAGCUUACAGCAGCGCCAGAUCCCUGACCCACUGAGCAAGGCCAGAGAUUGAACCCAUAUCCUCAUGGAUACUAGUUGGAUUCAUUUCCUUGGCACCACAAUGGGAACUCCCUGAUUUAAUUUAAUUUAAUUUUUUUAAGUUUUUUAUUUUAAAAUAAUACUUAAUUGAAGUACAGUUGUUUUACAAUGUUGUGUCAGUUUCUGCUGUAAUAUCCAGCUAAUUUUAAAUUUGACUGCUUUUCUUUAAUAUUAUAUAAUGUUCAUUUUUUUGUGAGUACAUCCCAUUUGCCAUUGAUUUGAUACACCUGUUUGCUUUUAUUUUAUUUUGUUUUUUACUUUUUUGUAACUUUUUGUUUUUAACUACUUCCCACCUACCCAUAGAUAUUUAAAUGGUGUAGGAAUUUGUUUUAAGCAACCCAGCAGUGACAGUUUUCUUCCACAAAACCUCCCCCCCCCAAAUCAUUCCUGAAAAGUCUGUCAAGUUUUUGUCAUUACUAGUCUAUUGUCCUGUGAGCGCAAUGUAGAAAGAAGACACAGUACAUUCGAUCUGUUGACUGUUUUCUGGCUAUAAUAUCUGAGAAAUCUGCAGAUUAAGUUUCUCAAAAUCCAGACUCACUUUCCACCCAUCUUUUUGACCUUCUUGGUGCUGUCCCUUUUCAGGAGGCAGUGACCUUCAAGGAUGUGGCCGUGGUCUUCACAGAGGAGGAGCUGGGGCUGCUGGACCUCACCCAGAGGAAGCUGUACCAGGAAGUGAUGCUGGAGAACUUCCGGAACCUGGUCUCAGUGGGUGAGGAUGGCGCCCUCUCUAACCGAAAGUCAGCUCCUUGGUUUGGCUUCAUGUCCUCAGGUGUUGAAGGCUUUGGGGAUCUUGAAUUUUUAUUUAUUUAUUAUUUUUAGCAAUUUAUUUAUUUAUUUAUUUAUUUAUUGGCCACACUUUUGGCAUAUGGAAGUUCCCGGGCUAGGAAUUGAACCCAUGCCACAGCAGUGACCGAGAGCCACUGCAGUGACAACACCAGAUCCAUAACCUGAUGAGUCACAAGAGUACUCCAUCACACAUCUUUGUUUUUCUUUUUUGGCUGCCCCUGCAGCAUAUGGAAGUCCCUGGGCAAGUGAUCCAAUUCAAACUGCAGCUGUGACCUGCACCACAGCUGUAACAAAACUGGAUCCUUAACCCACUGCACCACAGCAGGGACUCCUGUCAUACAACUAUUUUUAAGGGUCAUAUGACCAUAAAUUACAUUAGCCAUCAAGAAAGACAUACCUAGUAAUAUUUUUCCAUGCUUCCACUCUUGGAACCUAUUUUUCCAUUUCAACAGUGUUUAAUUAAGGACUAGGUUAACUUUUCCAACCAAAGUUUUCAAUUUUUUAUUUGUUUCUUUUUUUGUGUGUAGAAGUUCCUAGGCCUGGGAUCGAACCUAUGCCACACCUGUAACCAGAGCCACAGUAGUGACAAAGCUGGAUCCUUAACUCAUUGAGCCACAAGGGAACUCCUCAAGGUUUUUCUCUUUUAAUAUGAGCCAUGGCAAGGACCAUGUCCCUUGGAGUUCUCUUGUAACGUAGCAGGUUAAGGAUCUGAUGUUUUCACUAUAAUGGCUCAGGCAUGGGUUUGAUCCCUGGCCUGAGAACUUCCACAUAUUGAGGCUGUGACUGAAAAAAAAAAAAGAAGAAAAAAGAAAGAAACGUCCUUUGUUUGUAACCAGAAUCCACAUUUCACGUGUUGGUGAUUUCUGUGUAUCACUUUCGUAGACAUUUCAUGGGAUGACCUCUUUUCUGUUGGUGAUGAAGCUCUGAUAGUUUCUAUCCUGGUUCUUUUUUCUGAAUGCUUAUUAUAGGCUUUUAGGUUUAUUUCAUAGCUCACUAGAGAGCUGGAGUUUUCGAUUUGAAGAACUGGUGUGAUAAGCUAUUUUAUUUCCUGCCAGAGUUUUCCUACAUUGCAUUUUCGAAGAGACAGUCCAAAAGCUUCAGCAGGAACCAGCAAUGGUCUCUCUUGCUUUCUUUUCACCCUAAAGGAUUCUGGCCACCUUUGACUUUUUUCUUCCUUUUAGGGCUGCACCUGUGGCAUAUGGGAGUUCCCCAGCAAGGGGUCGAAUCAGAGCUACAGUUUCCAGCCUUUGCCACAGCCACAGCAAUACUGGAUCCAAGCUGUAUCUGUGACCUCUGUUGCAGCAUGCAGCAACCCAACUUGAACCCACUGAGCAAGGCCAGGGAUCGAAUCCACAUCCUCAUGGAUACCAGUCGGGUUCUUAACCUGCUGAGCCACAAUGAAGACUCCAUCUUUGAUAUUCUUAUUAACAGCAUGUUUGUUGUAUCCCUGUCUUUGGGACAGCUUUUCAGCUUCUCAGCAAAACUUACUUCUCUGUCCCUUUGUUAUUUCAAAUAACUUACUUGAAAGAAAUGUUUUCCUCCUAGGACUUGACUUAAACUCUCAUUAAAAAAGUCAAACUGGGACUCAUUUAUUCAUUGAACAUGCAUUUGUAGAGGAUUCACUGUACUCCAGACUUGAUUCUGGACAGUGGUUAUGAGGAGGAAAGUGUAAAAUACGUUCCAUGUAUCAAGUGUGAAAUACUUCCUGCUUUGAUGCUGCAUUAUGGUGGGAAAGACACAUAUUAAACAACAAAUGGGAGUUCUCAUGUGGCUCAGUGGGUUAAGGAUCCAGCAUUGUCACUACAGCAACUCUGGUCACUGCGGCUUGGGUUCAGUCCCAGGCCCAGGAACCUCCACAUGCCAUGAGUGGAGCCAAAACAAAGCACAAAUGACUUAGUGUGUUAUGUGGGGAAAAGUGCUGUGUAGAACAGGUUCAAGGAUUAUGGAAUGGCCAGGGGUAGAUCGAGUGAGGACAGGGUUGAUUAUUUUACACUGGGUGGUAAAGAGGCCUAGUUGGUGGGCUGCUAUUGAGCUGAGGCCUAAAAGACAUGUGGAGCCAUCUGUGGGUCUGUCUGCCAAGUCUUCCUGGCAGAAUCUAACUCCCAUUCUAGGGUUGGCUUUCAGAGUUUAUACUGUGUCUUCAUCUUCCUUCUCCCAGGGUCCGGUUUUGCAUAAAAGGUUACCUUCUAUGUUUUCACUUUUUUCCUUAGAAGUCUGAAUUAGUAUCAGGUUUUAGAACAGUGUGUGUUACCUGUUCAACUUUAUUUCCCUUUUUUCCUACUGAAGAACACGUGCCAGUGGGAGCUAAAGUUCCAUUCUCUGCUUUCACUGUGUUUUUUUCAGUGUGUGACUAGAUAUUUCUCCCAGACCAGCCAGUCAUUCUAGCCAUUCUAGUCACCUCAUUAAAGUAACUUUCCAAUAAGAUGACAUAAGGCAGAGUUAUAGGGAGGCUGUUUAUCAUAUGUCUCCUGGAUCAAAAGAGGAGGCAGCUUUAAAGGGAGGAGAGUGAAUUUCUCUUUUGUAAAAAUUUCAUCACAAGUACUUGCUUUUUUUUUUUUUUUUUUUUAAAGACUGUUUUGGGAGUUCCCGUCGUGGCGCAGUGGUUAACGAAUCCGACUAGGAACCAUGAGGUUGCGGGUUCGGUCCCUGCCCUUGCUCAGUGGGUUGACGAUCCGGCGUUGCCGUGAGCUGUGGUGUAGGUUGCAGACGCGGCUCGGAUCCUGCGUUGCUGUGGCUCUGGCGUAGGCCAGGGGCUACAGCUCCGAUUCAACCCCUAGCCUGGGAACCUCCAUAUGCCGCGGGAGCGGCCCAAGAAAUAACAAC